RNAcentral lists this long non-coding RNA (298 nucleotides) under Brassica napus (rape). RNAcentral's name for it is "long non-coding RNA (BNAP_LNC026718)". Lineage: Eukaryota; Viridiplantae; Streptophyta; Magnoliopsida; Brassicales; Brassicaceae. The record is from RNAcentral.
AGGAGGAGAGAGUACGAGUAAGAAGAAAGACAUGUGGGCCAACUGAGCUCUCAUUGGUUAAGGUUGUCUUGUGGGCCAUGUAGGUAGUUGAAUUGUGGUUGGUUUAUUUAAUCGAAGAAAUAAAUGAAGAAAGACUACUUUGGGGAGUGCAAGGAUAAAAGGGUAGGGAGAAUAGAGAGGGGGCAGUGAGAAUUCAUUUAGGAGGGUAUGGGGUAUAUGGAGUUAAUCUCCGAUGAACUUUGAUCUGUGUUUAAUCUUUUUAAAACAAUGUUAUGAAUCAUUAUUUGGUUUGCAUGAC